Molecule: long non-coding RNA, 854 nt
Filed under: Vombatus ursinus (common wombat)
Lineage: Eukaryota; Metazoa; Chordata; Mammalia; Diprotodontia; Vombatidae
Description: lncRNA (ENSVURG00010001821.1)
Source: RNAcentral
CCAAACCCAGUGCCAGACUCCUAACAAGUUAUCAGAGUACAAGAAGUUGGAACUUGUCCUUGAAGGGAGUUCCAGGAGAGAAGGUAGCCUGGACAGUGAUACAACCUCAGAAGGCAACAUGGUACACAAGCCUAUUUGUGAAAGUACUGUGAAACAUGACCCUAUCAGAGAUGAUGGUGAUGUGUAUGACUCUGUCUGUGAUGAGGAAGAAAUAUAUGACCCUGUCACUCCAGAAGAAAUAUUCUGUGUCCAAAUCAACCAGGGAGAGAUCCCAAAUCCUCAGAAGUGCAAGAGUCCAGAUACAAUUUACUGCAUCAUGAAGAAACCCCAAAAGGUGGGAUCACUGAAAAGUGACAUUGAGUCUCCAGAGGCUUCUCUCUAUGAAAAUUUCACCUCAAUAGGACAGUCACUGCCUACCCCAUCUUCUGACUGUGGAUAACAAAGAGGAAGCAGGGCCUUAUUGGCACAUGGAUGAUUUAAGGAUGAAUAUCCCUGCACAUGGGAAGAUCCUGGGAUUUCCCUGCAUUACUCUACACAUAUUCUGAGUUCCCUCACUUUUGUUCCCAGAGCAAACUGCAUCUGGACCAAGAUACUGGUCUGAAGGGUAGACAGAGAGACUCAGGUUCUUCUUGAUUGAUCCCUUACAAUUUUCUGUAAUGACAGGCUGGGAUUGGGAAUUUUAUCUCCACAGUAGGAUGGUCCCCAGGCCUGGAAUCUCUUCUUACCUCUACCUUCUGGUUUUCUGUCUUUCUUAAGACAAUUCUGAUUCUACUUUCUGCAAUAGGCCUUUCCCAACACUCCAUAUCCUGUUCUUCUGAAAUAAACUAUAAAUUACUCUCUCUCUCUCUCUCUCU